This 466-nucleotide ribosomal RNA is filed under the name uncultured bacterium. RNAcentral describes it as "bacterial SSU rRNA". It matches the Rfam family "Bacterial small subunit ribosomal RNA", at positions 329 to 793 of the family's 1533-position model. The record is from RNAcentral.
GUCCAGACUCCUACGGGAGGCAGCAGUGAGGAAUAUUGGUCAAUGGCCGAAGGGCUGAACCAGCCAAGCCGCGUGAAGGAAUAAGGCCCUACGGGUCGUAAACUUCUUUAGUCAGGGAACAAAGGGUGCCACGUGUGGCGCCGUGAGUGUACCUGAAGAAUAAGCAUCGGCUAACUCCGUGCCAGCAGCCGCGGUAAUACGGAGGAUGCGAGCGUUAUCCGGAUUUAUUGGGUUUAAAGGGUGCGUAGGCGGUUUGUCAAGUCAGCGGUAAAAAUUCGGGGCUCAACCCCGUCCGGCCGUUGAAACUGGGGGCCUUGAGUGGGCGAGAAGAAGGCGGAAUGCGUGGUGUAGCGGUGAAAUGCAUAGAUAUCACGCAGAACCCCGAUUGCGAAGGCAGCCUUCCGGCGCCCUACUGACGCUGAGGCACGAAGGCGUGGGUAUCGAACAGGAUUAGAUACCCCGGUAC